Molecule: long non-coding RNA, 210 nt
Filed under: Phaseolus vulgaris (common bean)
Lineage: Eukaryota; Viridiplantae; Streptophyta; Magnoliopsida; Fabales; Fabaceae
Description: long non-coding RNA (PVUL_LNC002857)
Source: RNAcentral
AAAGAGUAGAGGUCGGGUAUAUGGUACGGCAGACUUGGCUGCUAACAUCUGCCAAGGAGUCUCUUCUCUCACCCAAGCCUCUGCGUCCGGCACUUCACAAUCUGGACAAGUGACUGAAAAUCAAAUGCUUCGUGCUGAACUUAGUAUGUGGAGUCAGAAGUAUGCACACCUGGAGGAUGAGCUGAAGGUUAUAAAAGAUAAACUUAUCUC